UACGUAGGGUGCGAGCGUUAAUCGGAAUUACUGGGCGUAAAGCGUGCGUAGGCGGUUCGUUAAGUCAGCUGUGAAAGCCCCGGGCUCAACCUGGGAACUGCGGUUGAAACUGGCGAACUAGAAUCUGGCAGAGGGGGGUGGAAUUCCACGUGUAGCAGUGAAAUGCGUAGAGAUGUGGAGGAACACCGAUGGCGAAGGCAGCCCCCUGGGUUAACACUGACGCUCAGGCACAAAAGCGUGGGGAGCAAACAGG
RNAcentral lists this ribosomal RNA (253 nucleotides) under uncultured bacterium. RNAcentral's name for it is "partial 16S ribosomal RNA". It matches the Rfam family "Bacterial small subunit ribosomal RNA", at positions 524 to 776 of the family's 1533-position model. The record is from RNAcentral.